This 406-nucleotide ribosomal RNA is filed under the name uncultured bacterium. RNAcentral describes it as "partial 16S ribosomal RNA". It matches the Rfam family "Bacterial small subunit ribosomal RNA", at positions 29 to 526 of the family's 1533-position model. The record is from RNAcentral.
AUUGAACGCUGGCGGCAGGCCUAACACAUGCAAGUCGAACGAGUGGCGGCCGGGUGAGUAAUGUCUGGGAAACUGCCUGAAGGAGGGGGAUAACUACUGGACACGGUAGCUAAUACCGCAUACCAUCGGAUGUGCCCAGAUGGGAUUAGCUAGUAGGUGGGGUAAAGGCUCACCUAGGCGACGAGCCCUAGCUGGUCUGAGAGGAUGAUGCGCCACACUGGAACAGAGACACGGGCCAGACUCCUCCGGGAGGCAUCAGUGGGGAAUGUUGCACAGUGGGUGCAAGCCUGAUGCAGCAAUGCCGCGUGUAGGAAGAAGGCCUUCGGGUUGUAAAGUACUUUCAGCGGGGAGGCGUGACCCGCAGAAGAGGCACCUGCUAACACCGUGCCAGCAGCCGCGGUAAUUC